Molecule: ribosomal RNA, 491 nt
Filed under: uncultured bacterium
Lineage: Bacteria
Description: partial 16S ribosomal RNA
Rfam family: Bacterial small subunit ribosomal RNA
Source: RNAcentral
GUGAACGCUGGCGGUAGGCCUAACACAUGCAAGUCGAACGGCAGCACAGUAAGAGCUUGCUCUUACGGGUGGCGAGUGGCGGACGGGUGAGGAAUACAUCGGUAUCUACUUUUUCGUGGGGGAUAACGUAGGGAAACUUACGCUAAUACCGCAUACGACCUACGGGUGAAAGCAGGGGAUCUUCGGACCUUGCGCGAUUGAAUGAGCCGAUGUCGGAUUAGCUAGUUGGCGGGGUAAAGGCCCACCAAGGCGACGAUCCGUAGCUGGUCUGAGAGGAUGAUCAGCCACACUGGAACUGAGACACGGUCCAGACUCCUACGGGAGGCAGCAGUGGGGAAUAUUGGACAAUGGGCGCAAGCCUGAUCCAGCCAUACCGCGUGGGUGAAGAAGGCCUUCGGGUUGUAAAGCCCUUUUGUUGGGAAAGAAAAGCAGCAGGUUAAUACCCCGCUGUUCUGACGGUACCCAAAGAAUAAGCACCGGCUAACUUCGUG